Molecule: long non-coding RNA, 1674 nt
Filed under: Limulus polyphemus (Atlantic horseshoe crab)
Lineage: Eukaryota; Metazoa; Arthropoda; Merostomata; Xiphosura; Limulidae
Description: uncharacterized LOC111083483
Source: RNAcentral
UUAUUCGAGUUUACACUUACACUUACUGACUUUUCUAUUUAUCUACAUAAAGUUUGGUGAUAUAUUUAGUCAUUUAGUUGAUAUACGCAGUCGUUCACUUAGCUUAUAUUUUCUUAGCUCUUCAUCGAGUAUCCACAGGCAACACAUCUUAUAAUAUUCUAACAGAACUGGCUACACAUGUAAGCCUCAGGACGAAAAACUGUCACAUUUACAUAUCAUUUGAGGAAAAUUAGAAUAUAACAGAUAAGUAUAACAAAUUACGUUUUUGUUAAUUUACCGCAAUAAUAAUAAUAAUAACGUCUUGUAACAUCGAACAAUUACUAUACUAAAUCUAAAUGUUACAACAUUUUUACAGGACCAUACAGCAACUAGAUAGUAAGGCUCGGUAAGAAGCUUAAUGUGACUAAGGGCUUAAAUGAGCCAACGGACAGUAUUUCUGUUCGCUGGAUCAUAGUAAUACUACACUUAGACGUCCUUCACCACUCUAGCAAGCUGGUUUCUACACCUACAUCAAAGGAAUUAAACCUUGGCCAAGAUCUGAGCUCCAGUAGCCAUGCUGAGAGCUGGCAUCUCUCAUGGUAUAAGAUAUUUUACUAGAAAACUACUUUGAGCCAGGGACCAGAGCCAAAAGCUGGGGGCCAAUUUUGAGAUUAUAUUAAAAGCGACUGCUAUUGUGUGUUUGGCCCAAGCUGUAGUAGAGAGAGCCAGGCAAACACAAGCACUACCCACCAUGCUCACUUUCUGCUUGUAUCCUAGAUGAUGUGCAUCGCUGGGCUAAAUCCGUAGAGGUCCGACUACUGAAUGGGUAAACUCCGGCAGACCAGACUGGAUCAGACGGCACAACUUUCCUUGCGUCGAUCGAUAGCAACUAGGCGUAAUGUAGAAAAGGAAGAUACAAUUGCAGGACGAUAACAGCGCAACGUUGUGAUCACAACAGGAAUUUGGGAUAGAGCUACUCAUGGGAAGGUUUGUUGAUGUACUCGGGAGCAUGUCAGUCAGGAUAUCAUUUACCAAUCACAUCUGUCUAUUUUUGGCGCUUAUGACGAAUAAGCGAUGACGUCAUGGAGGGCGGGUUUUACAGCUGUUGCAAUCAUACACCUGAGCACGUGCUUAUCCGAGAAUAUAAUAUCUGUACUUUGAAAUGGCCGACCACGGAGGACUGAAUCAUUACUUUUCGUUUUGACCAUUUAUAUUGUGGGAUAAAAUUUUCCUAGAUGCUAUCUAGUAUACAUAGAAAAAAUCUAUUCUCUCAGUAUAGAAGUUCUGUAGAUGAAAUUCAAAGAAACGAUAAAUAAGUUUCGUCUAUUUUAAUAGAACGACGUGUACUAUCUGGAUGGAGCACCUUUCGCUGUGAUGAUAACCUAAACUCGGGGUGGCGUAAUUUCGACAAUAUGUGGAAGAGUUUUAUUCGAUUGUAGUCCAGUUGUCGAGAUGUGCGGUUUGCAAUUGGUUUUACACAUGCCAGCUGAGAAGUAUGACAGCGAUGUGCAACAUUCGACAGAUGUUUAAACGGAUUAAGAACUGAUGAUUAUGCUGGUCUAAAAGUUGAUUGAAGGAUGUGACAUAGGAACGAGGAAUGGUCGAUGAAAAGGCUGUGUUAAAGAAGUGGUUUAGUGUAAAGUGCUUUAAUCAAGAAGUAGAAAGUGCAAGGGAAUAAACCAUUUUAACGCCGAA